GAUGAAUGCUGGCUGUAUGGAUAAGGCAUGCAAGUNCGAACGGACCGCAAGGUCAGUGGCAGACGAGGUAGUAACACGUACGAACGUACUCCCAAGUCGGGCAUAGCCAACCGAAAGGUUGGGUAAUUCCCGAUAGUCCCUACGGGGUAAAGAUUUAUCGCUUGGGAAGCGGCGUGCGUAGUAUCAGCUUGUUGGUAAGGUAACGGCUUACCAAGGCUACGACGCUUAGGGGAGGUGAGAGCCUGACCCCCACCGAUGGGACUGAGACACGGCCCAUACUCCUACGGGAGGCCGCAGUCGAGAAUCUUUCGCAAUGGACGAAAGUCUGACGGAGCGAUACAGCGUGGUGGAUGAAGUGCUUCGGUACGUAAACACCUUUUAUUGUGGGACGAAAUUAUUGACGGUACCACAUGAAUAAGGUGCUCCUAACUCUUGUGCCAGCAGGAGCGGUAAUACAGAGGCCCCAAGCAUUAUCCGGAAUCACUGGGCCGUAAAGGGUCUCAAGGCGGUCGUAUUAGUCUUUCCGUAAAAUCCAUGGGCUCAACCUAUGGCUCGCGGGAGAAACGGUACGACUUGAGGUCGGGAGAGGUGCGUGGAACUCACGGUGUAGGGGUGAAAUCCGUUGAUAUCGUGGGGAACACCUAAAGGCGAAGGCAGCGCACUGGCCCGAAUCUGACGCUCACACACGAAAGCCAGGGUAGCGAACGGGAUUAGAUACCCCGGUAGUCCUGGCCCUAAACGCUGCUCGCUCGCUCUACGGAGUAUCGACCCUCUGUGGGGCUAAGCUAACACGGUAAGCGAGCCGCCUGGGUAGUACGAGCGCAAGCUUAAAACUCAAAGGAAUAGACGGGGACUCGCACAAGCGGUGGAUCAUGUGGCUUAAUUCGUCGAUAAGCGAAGAACCUUACCAGGGCUAGAAACCAAGCUGCACGCCCCCAGAAACGGGGGAAGCCUUCGAGGGUGCUUGGCAGGUGAUGCAUGGUUGUCGUCAGUUCGUGGCUUGAGCUGUUCCCUUCAGU
RNAcentral lists this ribosomal RNA (1019 nucleotides) under uncultured Parcubacteria group bacterium. Its description in RNAcentral is "bacterial SSU rRNA". It matches the Rfam family "Bacterial small subunit ribosomal RNA", at positions 28 to 1085 of the family's 1533-position model. The record is from RNAcentral.